AACGCACCUUGCGCUCCUUGGUAUUCCAUGGAGCAUGCCUGUUUGAGUGUCACGUGAACACCUCACCUCCCUUUGGGGAUGCGUGGACUUGGACGUCUGCCGACGCAAGUCGGCUCGUCUCGAAAUGCAUUAGCCUGCAGAGUGCUUCGCUGGGCCUUUGGCGUGAUAGUCACAUUUCGCCGUUGCGUCUGCGAUGUCUUAGACUCUGGGCUCACAAUAUUGGAACCCGUCCACGGGGACCUCUUUUUACGCUCUGGCCUCAAAUCAGGUAGGACUACCCGCUGAACUUAA
RNAcentral lists this unclassified non-coding RNA (291 nucleotides) under uncultured fungus. RNAcentral describes it as "sequence contains ITS2". The stretch from base 1 to 52 matches the Rfam family "5.8S ribosomal RNA", at positions 103 to 154 of the family's 154-position model. Lineage: Eukaryota; Fungi. The record is from RNAcentral.